This is a long non-coding RNA of Corticium candelabrum, 1109 nucleotides long. RefSeq lists it as uncharacterized. The record is from RefSeq and is a predicted model, not a curated record. The transcript is spliced from 3 exons. NCBI's taxonomy places the organism in Eukaryota, Metazoa, Porifera, Homoscleromorpha, Homosclerophorida, Plakinidae.
UACGGAACUACCUCUCGCGUUAUGUUCCAAAUGAAGACCCGGAUAAGCCCUAUCCUUCUCUAAUGCCAAGUCCCGUAUAACAGGACCUGGCGAAGUCCCUACUUCACGGGUGAUGAACACUCUCAGUAGAGCCUUCCUUCACCAGUUGCUGUCGUUGGUAGUGAAAGGAAGUCUAGAGGCGUCGAUUUGACAAUGUAGGGCGUGUGUCAGACUGCUUGACUUCGUGGAAAGACGGCGAAAGUUGGGGGUGAUUUGUCGCUGUGGCGACCGUAGCGCCUUCCUUUGUCAAUUUUGUCCACGGAAAGGCCCCGGCCAGCAACCAAAUGUUGAUCACCCUACGUGCACAGAAUAGGAUGAGGAACAUGGCGCUUAGCGACCGGAAGUUUGUGGUUUUCAAGUCGUCGUUAUUGCCCGGUGAUUCAUCGUUUUCAAGGUACUUGUGGAAUAAUUUAUUGAGGCUUGUCAACGCGUUACGAUGUGGGAGCCCAACUUUUGAGCCUCCCCUGCAUUUUGUCCAAGGGUCAGAAGACUAGUUAGGGCUCUCUUAGUGCUGUUCAGAUGUAAAUCUUUUGUUUACCGCUAGUCUUUUAGAAUCCUCGUCCUCUGGUAGUGUAUAGAGUACUUAGCAAUAUCUGCAUUUCGCCUUGCAUACCAAUAACUCAUUGUACGCGGUUAGUGUAUAUAUGUAGCAGUCAGAAACCGUGCAUUGAAACAAGUCGUACGUAGUACACGUGCAACUACGAGUCAACUCUACACUUCCUGAACAUGGUAGGUCCACUGCACUGCUGUUUUCCCAUGCCUAGAUGUUUCCAGUUCACCGCGAGGAGAGUCAAUAUCGUACAAAAGUGCUGCUUGCCGAGUGGAAAGUACCGUCACAUAGACUGCGUUAGCAAUACACGCCAAUCUGAUCAUGACGUGGAGAGGUCAACAAGCUCUAGGCCACUGUUUUCAUGAACCGUUGAGUGAAACUGGGCCGGCAGUUCUCACACCAUUUCCCCCACAGACUAUAGAUGUCAGAGUAGACGCGCAGGAGUGGUGAAUAGUUCUACGUCUGUUUCAAUUCGCGCAAACCUGCAGAUGAGUUCAGUAGAACGAAACGUUGCUGGAGA